GGAGAGGUCGCAUAGUGGCCGAGUGCGCACGCUUGGAAAGCGUGUAAGGGUAACACCUUCGCGGGUUCGAAUCCCGCUCUCUCCGCCA
This 88-nucleotide transfer RNA is filed under the name Candidatus Roizmanbacteria bacterium. RNAcentral describes it as "tRNA-Ser". It matches the Rfam family "tRNA". Rfam says of the family: Transfer RNA (tRNA) molecules are approximately 80 nucleotides in length. Their secondary structure includes four short double-helical elements and three loops (D, anti-codon, and T loops). Further hydrogen bonds mediate the characteristic L-shaped molecular structure. tRNAs have two regions of fundamental functional importance: the anti-codon, which is responsible for specific mRNA codon recognition, and the 3' end, to which the tRNAs corresponding amino acid is attached (by aminoacyl-tRNA synthetases). tRNAs cope with the degeneracy of the genetic code in two manners: having more than one tRNA (with a specific anti-codon) for a particular amino acid; and 'wobble' base-pairing, i.e. permitting non-standard base-pairing at the 3rd anti-codon position. RNAcentral also lists the same sequence under 1 other name. The record is from RNAcentral. Lineage: Bacteria; Candidatus Roizmaniibacteriota.